Peromyscus leucopus (white-footed mouse) is the source of this 3544-nucleotide long non-coding RNA. RefSeq lists it as uncharacterized. Lineage: Eukaryota; Metazoa; Chordata; Mammalia; Rodentia; Cricetidae. The record is from RefSeq and is a predicted model, not a curated record. The transcript has 5 exons.
UUGUUUUUGCAUUCGAACCUUUCCUGGCAUAGGAGGAAAAGCAUCUGCAGCCGCCUGGCCUUGCCUGGAGGCCAGCUCCAGCUUUCACUCGGUCUGGGGCCCUGGGUAAUGAUUACACUGCUUUGCUGGAUCCCAGGCCUCCAAGGACAGGGGUGUGCAGAGAUGAAGGACUCCCCAGCUGCUUAUCAACAUCAAAGGUUCGUUAAUCACACCAUCCCAGGUAAUCAAAGCUCAGUUUCAACCCGCCGGGCCUCACUCUGGCAUUGUGCCCUGUGUAUGCCAACCCGGAGUGGGAGGAGGUGAGGUACUCCUAAAGCCCGUAGGAAGCUGAACACUUCCCGAGUGGAAGCACGCUUGCUUUCCUCUCCCCUGCCUAUCCAAGAAGGGAGACAGAGGCAUCAGACAGCGCAGAGGCUUCUGUGAACUCCCACCACCCUAGUAGGUGCCCCCUUAUUAGGACCGUCUUUGGCAGGGGCAGGUGAUGCCAGGGCCAGGGAACCACUGGCUGCUUUGUGGGGCAGUUGGCGCCAGAGUUGCCAACGCCGUUGCACAAUCUCACUCUGGGCAGAUAUUUGCCAACCUCCUCUGUGUGUCAAGUGUGGCGCUUGCUGUAUGAUCAGGAGACUCGUUUCAAGUCAGGCUACGCUGUACGGCAAUAACCAAGGAGCUUGCCUGGUUGCUGCAUGCUAAUUUCUGAGGAUCAAAAACCUAAGGAUUGAAAGUCACCUCACUCUUAAUCUGGGAAAUACAUUACGCUCUGAUGAACAAGAGCCCCCCUUUUCCGUUCUGUUCAAGUGGAGGUUAAAGAGAGUUGGGGGGUGGAGGCUUUGCUACAGCACAGCACAGCAGUUCAGUGUCCGGUUUGCAGGAUGGACAAGAUGGAUCGGCAGGUAAAGACACUCGCCCUGCUGGCCUGACAACCUGGGACAACCGGAGAACCCCCAGAGCCCGUGUGCUGUAGUCUGAAUGUAACUGGUCCCCGUAAUCUCAGAGGAAGUGGCACUAUUAGGAGGUGUGGCCUUGUAGAAGUAGGUGUGGCCUUGUGGAAGGAGGCGUGGCCUUUUGGAGGAAGAGUGUUGCUGGGGGGGUGUGCUGUGGGAUAUUUUGCUCAAGGUUUGCUCGGUGUGACACCGACCGUUUCCUGUUGCUUACAAGAUGCAGAGCUCUCAGCUACUUCUCCAGCACCACGUCUGCCUGCGUGCCGCCAUGGUCCACCAUGAUGAUAAUGGACGGAACCUCUGAACUUUUGGGAUUCAAGGCGAUGAGAUGGGACUGCCCACAUGCUUCCCGUCUUAGUUGACUCUCCCGGAAGUGGACUCUCACAGACAUGCCCAGGACAACCGUCCUAGGCGGAUGCAGAGCAGAUGGAAGCCUGGCCUUGCCUGUGGAGUGCUCUACAGCCAAAUGAACCACCCACAGCUGAACCCCGAAAGCCUGAGGCUCUGUGAUACCUUGUGCUACAGCAUACUGGAAGGAGCUGAGAAACUGAAGACAGACAGUUCUUAGGGGGUCUGGAUCCUUUGCCUUCCCCUGCCACCUGCUUGAAUAAAGUUGGAAGUUUUCUUUCUCAGAGAUAUUGAGCCCCAAGGGCUCUGGGCAUCACCUCAGAAUACACAGAGGAGAACAGGAAUGGGAUCCAGGACUCUUGCUGGAAAGUCCUCGCUGCUGAUGGUCACUGCAUCCAAGUGUACAUCCUACAGGCAGGAAGGCAAGGAUUUCCCCUGGGAGAACCAGCAGACAGAAAGAAAAGACUGCUUCAGGGUCCCACCCUGAGAAACCCGAACCACCACUAGGUUGCAGCCAACUUGCUUCUCCAGCUCACGAGUCCUCUAGCAAUGCCUGAAAGCAAUCCACAGUCAGGUCUGGGAUCUUAGGAUUCAAUAUGAACAGGCUGCUUUCAGGCAUCAGCAUCUGAAUCAACAUGAAAGAGAUUCGGGUCAUUCAAGUGGGGAAGAGAGAUUUAGUAGAAAUGGGAAUGAUGCAGGCAACAGAAUAAGACCUUGGAAACACACAGAAAAAGAGAACAUUUAAUAUUCUUAGAGAGAUAAGAGAUGUUCAUUCAUCAAAAUGAUGAAUGAUUCAGGGACCAUCAAAGAACAAGAAAAAAGAGCCUAGAGAAGUUAAAAAAUAGAAGAGCUUUUAAAUGAACAAAGUGGGACUACCUCCCAGGAAAUUAACAACAAAAAAGAGGUGUGGCCAAUAGUGAAGUCAUACAAAAUGAAAGCAUUGAUCGGAAGGGCUAACAUUCACUGACAGGGAUUCCAGAGACUAAAAGAGAGGAAAAGUGAAGAAAUGAUACCAGAAAACUUCCUGUGAGUUUGAAAAGAUCCACACCAGUUUCCACCACUUGACAUUUCAAAGUGUGGGCGCAAAGAAGACUCCAAGUAUCUCCUUAGAGAGACAAUUACAGGCUCCAUUCAAAUAGGAAUGGGGAAGACAUGGGACUUCAAGCUGCACCUUUGGGUGCCAGAAGACAAAGGAAGGGAAAUGAUGAUGUGUUUCUGUCUUCAGAGUCGGUUCAUUUAACCAAAAUGAUUAAUGUGUCUGUAUUGAGAGAAUAGAGGGAAGUGAACAGGAAGAAGUGUCAUAGUCUUCUAUGAAGUGAUAUCUGUUGUGGAAUGUUAUUCUGAGAUUCAUUGAGACUUCAACUUCCCUGGACUUUUGUCUGGGCUGGAGAUUGAACACAACUACAGCCAUGUGGCUACUUGGGGCGGAGUGGAGGAGCCUGUCAAAGAUCCAGACACUAGGGAAUCAAGAACAAGAGAAGUUCGAGUGCAUCCUCUUCAUCCAACAUUGUUCUUAAACAAUCAGCAUCAGGACCAUUGAAGAGUCCGGGCACCCCAACUCUACAGGACUACAUCUGGAGACCUCUUGUCCCUCUUGACUUCUUUGAGUGUCACAAAAUUAGACAGAGCCUGAGACCUCAUGACUUCCCACCAUUACCUCCAUUUGAUGGUGCGAGGAAAGAUUUGAGGAGCUAAAGAAGGCCACUUCAUCUCCUAGGCUCAUCCAAGGAGAAAUAGGUCUGGGUCUUGGUCCUGAGCUCCAGAGGACCUGGCCUUACUUAGCUGCCCUGACUUUUGAUUGAACUCAUUUUUCUGAUCUCAUCCUCUGUGGCUAGAGCUUUUAAUGGGAGUGGGAAAAGAAGUGGAUUCCCAGGAUCUUAAUUAAAUUAAUUUUUGUGUCAUUAUGACAAAAUGCCUGAGAGAAAAAAUUUAUGGGAGGAAGAUUUAUUUGGGGUCAUGGUUCAGAAGCUUGAGCUCUGUCAUGUGAGGAAGGCACAGUAGAGUGGGUCCAUGGCAGUGGGAGGGCGUGGCAGAGGCUGGCGGUUCACAUGAUGAUAGACUAGAAAGCAGAGAGCAAGACUGAAACCGGGGCCACCUAUAACCUUUAAAGGCUUAAACCAGGGGCCACCUAUAACCUUUAAAGGCUUAAACCAGGGUCACCUAUAACCUUUAAAGGCUUAAACCAGGGGCCACCUAUAACCUUUCAAGGCUUAACCCAGUGGCCCACUGUAGUUGGAAGUUUUCCUGUGUCCCACCAG